AUGAAUCUUAAUAAUAAUGGGACUAGAGAUGAGUCAACUUUAGUUAGAAGGCAUCCCAAUAAUUUGGAGUUUUUAGAUCUUGAUGCUAAAUUUGGUAAAAGUGGGAUUCGAGAGGUCAUGACUUUAAAUAGCAUUGAACCCACUAUCUCGGAUUUCAAGGAAUUUGAUUAUGAUAAUUGUUCUUUAGAAGGUUGUAUUUCCUUGUUGCAAUCCGUUGUUAAUUCUCCUCAUGCUUAUAGUCAAAAUAAAGCUUUUACCAAACAUAUCGUUGAUGCCUUGAUGCAAUCUUAUGAUGAAAACUUAAUUUGGAAGUUUCUAUACCUAGAAAACUUAAUGAUGAGUGGGAACCUACUAUAA
This 357-nucleotide ribosomal RNA is filed under the name Triticum aestivum (bread wheat). Its description in RNAcentral is "partial small subunit ribosomal RNA". The record is from RNAcentral. Lineage: Eukaryota; Viridiplantae; Streptophyta; Magnoliopsida; Poales; Poaceae.